RNAcentral lists this ribosomal RNA (253 nucleotides) under uncultured bacterium. Its description in RNAcentral is "partial 16S ribosomal RNA". It matches the Rfam family "Bacterial small subunit ribosomal RNA", at positions 524 to 776 of the family's 1533-position model. The record is from RNAcentral.
UACGGAGGGUGCGAGCGUUGUUCGGAAUCACUGGGCGUAAAGCGCGUGUAGGCGGCCUUGUAAGUCUGGGGUGAAAGCCCGGGGCUUACCCCCGGAAGUGCACUGGAAACUGCAAGGCUAGAGUACCGGAGAGGAAGGUGGAAUUCCUGGUGUAGCGGUGAAAUGCGUAGAUAUCAGGAGGAACACCGGUGGCGAAGGCGGCCUACUGGACGGAUACUGACGCUGAGACGCGAAAGCGUGGGGAGCAAACAGG